AUUGAACGCUGGCGGCAGGCCUAACACAUGCAAGUCGAGCGGAUGAAUGGAGCUUGCUCCUGGAUUCAGCGGCGGACGGGUGAGUAAUGCCUAGGAAUCUGCCUGGUAUUGGGGGAUAACGUCCGGAAACGGGCGCUAAUACCGCAUACGUCCUUAGGGAGAAAGUGGUGGAUCUUCGGACCUCACGCUAUCAGAUGAGCCUAGGUCGGAUUAGCUAGUUGGUGGGGUAAAGGCCUACCGAGGCGACGAUCCGUAACUGGUCUGAGAGGAUGAUCAGUCACACUGGAACUGAGACACGGUCCAGACUCCUACGGGAGGCAGCAGUGGGGAAUAUUGGACAAUGGGCGAAAGCCUGAUCCAGCCAUGCCGCGUGUGUGAAGAAGGUCUUCGGAUUGUAAAGCACUUUAAGUUGGGAGGAAGGGCAGUAAGUUAAUACCUUGCUGUUUUGACGUUACCAACAGAAUAAGCACCGGCUAACUUCGUG
RNAcentral lists this ribosomal RNA (484 nucleotides) under uncultured bacterium. RNAcentral's name for it is "partial 16S ribosomal RNA". It matches the Rfam family "Bacterial small subunit ribosomal RNA", at positions 30 to 507 of the family's 1533-position model. The record is from RNAcentral.